CCUACGGGAGGCAGCAGUGGGGAAUAUUGCACAAUGGGGGAAACCCUGAUGCAGCGACGCCGCGUGAAGGAAGAAGUAUUUCGGUAUGUAAACUUCUAUCAGCAGGGAAGAAAAUGACGGUACCUGACUAAGAAGCCCCGGCUAACUACGUGCCAGCAGCCGCGGUAAUACGUAGGGUGCAAGCGUUAUCCGGAUUUACUGGGUGUAAAGGGAGCGUAGGCGGUAAUGCAAGUCAGAAGUGAAAGCCCGGGGCUCAACUCCGGGACUGCUUUUGAAACUGUGUUGCUAGAUUGCAGGAGAGGUAAGUGGAAUGCCUGGUGUAGCGGUGAAAUGCGUAGAUAUUGGGAAGAACACCAGUGGCGAAGGCGGCUUACUGGACUGUAAAUGACGCUGAGGCUCGAAAGCGUGGGGAGCAAACAGGAUUAGAUACCCUAGUAGUC
Molecule: ribosomal RNA, 440 nt
Filed under: uncultured bacterium
Lineage: Bacteria
Description: partial 16S ribosomal RNA
Rfam family: Bacterial small subunit ribosomal RNA
Source: RNAcentral